AAUCUCUAAUAGAUAUUAAAUACAAAAAAGGACAAAAUCUACAAUAUUAGUUAUAACACAGCGCUGUAGAAUUCUCAAUACUGAUUAAUCGGAAGGUGUGGAUUAAUUUUCUAUAAUAGCAGCUCUGACAGUAGUUCCUGGCUGCAAGGCAAGGCGCAGGUUUAUAUUAACGCACUCAUUCUAACAUGGUAAUGGAUCAACAACAUCAUGCUACCCUGAGGCAUGAAUUCAUUUAAUUUGUAUAGACACAUUUAUGCAUUAAGAGAAUAUGAAAAUAAAAAGUCACAUACGUUAAUAACAUAUAUUGGUUCAGAUAUGCAUGAUUGCAUCAAAUUUACUCUAAUAUAAGGAGUGUCUAUGCAAAUGUCCUUCCCUGUUAUAUAUUUAAGCAAUGAAGACCAAGAGCUUUUACUUAUUCUGCUUCAACACACACCAUGAUCUCUACAUCUCUACUACUGCUGCUGCUGGCAGCCGUACACUGUGUUCACUGUGUUGAGCUGAUCCAGCCCGGAUCCACAGUAUUAACCCCUGGUCAGUCAAUGACUCUGACCUGUAAAGUGUCUGGAUAUUCAUUAACUGAUAGCAGCUACUGUACAGGCUGGAUACGACAACCUGCAGGAAAAGCUCUGGAGUGGGUCGCAUUAGCAUGUGGUAGUGGUAGCAAUUACUACAGUGAGAAACUGAAAAGCAGGUUUCAGGUUUCGAGAGACACGUCCAGCAGCACAGUAACAUUAACGGGGCAGAACAUGCAGACUGAAGACACAGCUGUGUAUUACUGCGCUCGUUACUACAGUGAGACAGAUCAACAACAUCCCUGUACAAAAACACCCAGUGCAGAAAACUCACCAGUACAUACUGUGUUCACUGACACUUUUUCAUGAAUAGUGUAUAUUAUUACUAACAUGCAUAAAAUCAGUUGUUUCUAUCAGUACAGUGAUGAAUACUGUGUGUAAUUAUUUUUCCAUUUAACUAAAUAUAAUAUUGCAUUUUUCUUUGGUUUGUACAGUAGGUGUGCACGUUAAACAGUUAAGCAAGUAGAUUGCAAAUUUGUAAGAGUGUUAUUGUAGGUGUGCUUCUCCAGCAGUUAUGGUAGUUUACUUGUUAUUUAGUGUUUUUAUGGGAGCAGUCUGAGAAACUAGAAAGCACAAACUCCUCUGUCCUGAAGAGUUACUUACUGUUACAAAAUGCUGACACUGGAGACUCCUUCCAUAAAUAUUACAUAAACAUUUUCUUACAGAAAGCUUCAUUAUACUGUACCAGUUAUUAGACCUUUUGUAUUGUUAAAUAACAGCAUAUUUUCUAAUCUGUUUAUUAUUCAUAUUAGAUGAUGUGGAGAGGUCUUCAAACAAG
Ictalurus furcatus (blue catfish) is the source of this 1350-nucleotide non-coding RNA. The record is from the annotation of a RefSeq genome assembly. NCBI's taxonomy places the organism in Eukaryota, Metazoa, Chordata, Actinopteri, Siluriformes, Ictaluridae.